AUUGAACGCUGGCGGUAGGCCUAACACAUGCAAGUCGAGCGGAAGCACAGUGCGUGCUCGUGGUUACAGCGGCGGACGGGCGAGCGAUGGCGGAGAACAUGGCAGUCAGCUGUGUCUAAGGGGCGGACACGGGGAAUAAUACGCCAAUACCGCAGACGGCGUACGGGGGGGAUCAUCGGACCUUCGGCCAUCGGGCGAGUCAAGGUCGGAUUAGCUAGUUGGCGGGGUAAAGGCCUACCAAGGCGACGAUCCGUAACUGGUCUGAGAGGAUGAUCAGUCACACUGGAACUGAGACACGGUCCAGACUCCUACGGGAGGCAGCAGUGGGGAAUAUUGGACAAUGGGCGCAAGCCUGAUCCAGCCAUGCCGCGUGUGUGAAGAAGGUCUUCGGAUUGUAAAGCCCUUUAGGUGGGAAAGAAGAGCAGUAAGUUAAUACCCCGCUGUUCUGACGUUACCAACAGAAUAAGCACCGGCUAACUUCGUG
Molecule: ribosomal RNA, 484 nt
Filed under: uncultured bacterium
Lineage: Bacteria
Description: partial 16S ribosomal RNA
Rfam family: Bacterial small subunit ribosomal RNA
Source: RNAcentral